Brassica rapa (field mustard) is the source of this 614-nucleotide long non-coding RNA. RefSeq lists it as uncharacterized. The record is from RefSeq and is a predicted model, not a curated record. NCBI's taxonomy places the organism in Eukaryota, Viridiplantae, Streptophyta, Magnoliopsida, Brassicales, Brassicaceae.
AUUUAUUCUUAUUGGCAUCGUCUCUGUCACGCUUUCCAAUAUCCUCGUCAAAGCGUAUGGACAUGAACACCUAAAGACAGAUACAACAAAGGAGAAGUGACAUCAGAACUUCAACUACCGUGGUUUCGCAUCCAGCAAUAUAUGACUGUCAAGGAAAACAGCAGCAAAAAAGCAUAUGUGUUAUAAAUAUAUUCAGAGGAAUCAAGAGUCAAGAAUCAAGUAUACUUGACAUGCAUACGUUGUAGGCCUUUUAAUAAAGUUGACUCAUAGAACCGGGUUUUCUUUACUGCCUUUGAGACCUUCAUCUCGAGCUCCUUCUCUGUAGGAAGUCUAUUCUAAUAGCUGGCACCACCAACAAAAUCAAAGAUGUAAAUUCAAACAUCAUAGAGUGGGGUUAAGAGACUGAUUAGCAGAUAAAAUGGGGGAAAGGUCUGAUAAAAUUACCCAGGAAGUAUAUCUUUAAAUACGGCCAACACAGAUAACAAACCAAGUUUCACUAUCUUUGUAUUACAUUUCCUUUAUGGUUCUUAUGUUUGCCUCAGGAUCAGAAAGUAGUUGCAUUCCCAACUCCUCGAGUUUGUUUUUCUUAUUUUCAAACGUCUCUUCAGCAGAUA